Molecule: long non-coding RNA, 5106 nt
Filed under: Triticum aestivum (bread wheat)
Lineage: Eukaryota; Viridiplantae; Streptophyta; Magnoliopsida; Poales; Poaceae
Description: long non-coding RNA (TAES_LNC025150)
Source: RNAcentral
UUUAUCCUAAUUUCAUUUAUAUUUAUCAUAAUUUCAUCCAUAAGACGCCAGAAUCUACCACAAGCGUGAACCAAAAAGCAUAAAAAGGAUACAGUUACAUGCUCAAUUGAGACUCAGCAGCUAGCACCAAAUACAUAGCUCCCUCUAUACCAUCCGUGUGAAUGUUAAGUACAUCCAUGGGCCAACUCCCUAUUAUUGCCGAUGUUCAGGCAAUUCCUCCCUCCCCUGUACAUGCAGAAGCUGUCCACACCACUAGGAGUGCAUGGAUCAGACUUAACUAGCGGAAAACACUCCAGCACAUCACUGGACUCUGCAACCAGUUACCAUGGAGCUGAUCAACGAACUUUUUGUAAGCUUCAGACCUAUGUUUCAAGAGAACAAAAUACGAUUGUAGAUGCUCUAGCCAAGGCUGCGUCCAUCCAGUUAAACAAACUCUCGGUAUUCUUUUAAGAUAUAACACCUCAGAUCUGAAUCAAUCUGUACUAGACUCCCAACUUUUGCUCCAGGCCUUGUAGAGCACUAGGUAGGGUUCAGGCGACAUACAAACAGAUCCAGCAGCUCGCAUGAUCUUGAAUACCUAGAAAAAGAAUGUAGCAAGUGUUUAUGCUCUGAAUCAUAUGCAAGACAGUGCAUCUUCUUUAACAAGAACAGACUGAUAGAGAGAUUUUCACACCUAGGAAAUUAUUAUCAAGGAAAGUAAGAGGAGUACUUCAUACGAAACAGUAAUUUGUCCAAUGAUAUUUUUAAGGGCCAAGAAGGCAAUCGUCUAAUCAUGGAGCACAAGAAAAGUUACUUUAAUUAGCAUAUAAUUGCUAUGUAAAACAUCAUCUAUACACAACCAUCAGUUUGCUUUGACUACAAAGCUGUACAUGGUCGGCUGGUGUUGUCAUUGGACCAGCAUGUCCAUCAGUCAGAAGUUUUCAAGCAAACUUAUCUAACUACUGUGGAUUCUAUCUGGAGUAACAAUGCAUAAUAUAGACAAAGCCAAGUCAGAGAAUGUUUUCGAGUCCCAAAAUUCAAGAUAAUCUCUAGAGUAUAUAAGCCAUCACAGAAAGCAAACAUGUUGAUGUAUACCCCAGAUAACAUAACUGUAAAGUUGCAUAUUUUAGCAAGGAUGUAAAAAAGGAAAACCAUGAACAAAAAAUUAGAGAGCGUAUGCAAUGGAGAUCUCAAAAAGGAGAGUUCCUUCAUGAGUGGUAUGUUUCCAAAAUUACCAUGCACCGACCUUUAUAAACUCUCUAGGAAAUCGUAAUGGAUGCAAAUCUCCCUUGAUGUCAAGAGGAAGGGAUGAGAGCUGUAAGAGACAGAAUAGACUUUUGUCAGAUCCUGCAAGCACUAACCAAACAGAAGGUAAAUAGAUGUUUUAAUGAACUACACAAACAAUACAACAUACACAUUUCUAUUCUUGUAUUGACAUAUAUCAAUGUGUCAGUAAAUAGUAUAAAAUGUUGCCAUCGGUCCGGUCUAGACCAUUGUCUCAAUAAAUAGUAUAAAAUGCUAAAGCAUACACUUCGUAAAGACAUUAGAUUCUCACUAAAUGGUGAGCCGCAUUUUGAGCCAACCUCCUACAUAAAAUUUACUUCUCAAAGCAUUGUCAAAAGGUAACAUGGGUAACCAAUUAUUGUGUUAAAACAUCCUAGUUGAAAUUAGUUGUUACAUAUAACUUUCUCCCAAAAAUCAGCCUGACGACUUAAACUUAUUUUCCAUAUUCCAGUUCGGCCUAUAUACCACAAAAAUGAGGAAUGUUAUUGGAACCUGUACCACAGACCAUAACCAUGCAUCUGAUUGUUUACUUUCUUAAAUAAUGCCAAUGCUUAUAACCCAACUCUAUGUGAUAGUUCAAAGUUAGUGAGCAGCUCUCUUUCGUAGAUAACAUGUACAGAUGUGAGUCCUGCCCAUUUAUCCUACAGCCCAGCAGGUAUUUCCAGUAGGACCAAUGGCUCCAAACCGUUACAUCUGAACCAAGUAAAGUCGUACUACUCCGUCCCAUAAUGUAAGACGGUUUUGAAAGCUAACAUAGCUUGCAAAAAACGUGUACAGAUGUGAGUCCUGCCCAUUUAUCCUACAGCCCAGUAGGUAUUUCCAGUAGGACCAAUGGCUCCAAACCGUUACAUCUAAACCAAGUAAAGUCAUACUACUCCGUCCCAUAAUGUAAGACGGUUUUGAAAGCUAACAUAGCUUGCAAAAACGUCUUCCAUUAUGGGACGGAGGGAGUAUUGUUUUAGCAUAACCUAGUGAACUCACUUCCAGAGACUUUCAAUAGCUGAUAACUGAAAGACUACAUCUAUAAUUAAUUAGCUAAUUAGAGCAAAAGUGGAUCGCUGUGAAUCUGCAUAUGAGCAAACCUAAAUUAUUUUUAGAGCAAACAACUGAAAAUAAGAUCAAGCCAGAGACAGGUUAGUUGAUACUCCUAAAUACAAAUCACUAACACCAGGAGGCAACAUUCCCUUCAGUUGCUCCCAGAAAAGACUAUUUACCUAAAUAAGAUCCUCCAAUUAUCCACUAUGAAUUGCAAGAACAUGAAUAGAACAUUAGGAGUUCAAAGUUCAUUACCCGCAAUGAAGGAGACCUUACCUUGGCUCACAGGGGCUGUUUGGAUGCCGCCCGUACCAGCCUUGCCAAAUCGGGGCUCGCCAAAAAAUUAGCGCACUAUUUUGCCGUGUGGAUUCACCAACAACCUGACGCUAGAACUGAACAGGCAACCAAAACUUUGGCGCAUAACCAAAAAAUCUGCUUCCAACCAAAGGCCAACGAGCCAGACAAUGCUUUUCGUAAGGCUGUUGCUGGCUGUGAUGCAAACAGGCCCAUAGUCUCAAACUCUCAAUGCACCAGCAACUAACUUGAAAACUGAAAUUUUAAUUUGCAUUGCAGAAUGGCUUCAUCUCACACUUUCUUAGUUCCAAUACAUCUGUUUAAAAUCAUUAAUGCGGACGAAAAAGUUCAUAACGAAGCCAUGGUUUCUUCUCAACUGAAUGAUGGCACUACAUAUCAUGUUUGAAGAAAUAAACUAUCAGUUUCAUCACACGUUAGCAACGACUAGCCCAGGAUAUCUAUACACAACCAUCAGUUUGCUUUGACUACAAAAGUUGUACAUGGUUGGCUGGUGUUGCCAUUGGACUAGCAUGUCCAUCAGUCAGAAGUUUUCAAGCUAACUUAUCUAACUACUGUGGAUUCUAUCUGGAGUAACAAUGCAGAAUAUAGACAAAGCCAAGUCAGAGAACGCUUUCGAGUCCCAAAAUUCAAGAUAAUCUCUAGAGUAUAUAAGCCAUCACAGAAAGCAAACAUGUGGAUGUGUAGCCCAAAUAACAUAACUAUAAGGUUGAAUAUUUUAGCAAGGACGUAAAAAGGAAAACCAUGAACAAAAAAUUAGAGAGCGUAUGCAAUGAAGAUCUAAAAAAGAAUAGUUCCUUCAUGAGUGGUAUGUUUCCAAGAUUAACAUGAACAGGCCUUUAUAAACUCUCUAGGAAAUCGUAAAUGGAUGCAAAUCUCCUUCAUGUCAAGAAGGGAUGAGAGCUAUAAGAGGCAGAAUAGGCUAUUGUCAGAUCCUGCAAGCACUAACCAAACAGUAGGUAAAUAGAUGUUUUAAUGAACUACACAAACAACACAACAUACACAUUUCUAUUCUUGCAUUGACAUAUAUAAACGUGUCAGUAAAUAGUAUAAAAUGUUGCCAUCAGUCCGGUCUGGACCAUUGUCUCAGUAAAUAGUAUAAAAUGCUAAAGCAUACACUUCAUAAAGACAUUAGAUUCUCACUAAAUGGUGAGCUGCAUUUUGAGCCAACGGCCUACAUAAAAUUUACUUCUCAAAGCAUUGUCAAAAGGUAACAUGGGAAACCAAUUAUUGUGUUAAAACAUCUUUAGCUGAAAUUAGUUGUUACAUAUGAUUUUCUCCCAAAAAUCGGCCUGAUGACUUAAAACUUAUUUUCCCUAUUCCAGUUCAUCCUAUAUACCACGAAAAUGAGGAAAUUUAUUGGAACCUGUACGACAGAGACCAUAGCCAUGCAUCUGAUUGUUUACUUUCUUAAAUAAUGCCAAUGCUUAUAACCCAACUCUAUGUGAUAGUUCAAAGUUUAUUUAAGUGAGCAUCUCUCUUUCGCAGAUAACAUGUACAGAUGUGGGCCCUGCCCAGUUAUCCUACAGCCCACUAGGUAUUUCCAGUAGGACCAAUGGCUCCAAACCGUUACAUCUGAACCAAGUAAAGUUGUACUAUUUUAGCAUAACUUAAGUGAACUCACUUCCAGAGACUUUCAAUAGCUGAUAGCUGAAAGACUACAUCUAUAAUUAGUUAGCUAACUAGAGCAAAAGUGGAUUGCUGUGAAUCUGCAUAUGAGCAAACCUAAAUUACUUUUAGAUCAAACAGGAACUGAAAAUAAGAUUAAGCGAGAGACAGGUUAAUUGAUACUACUAAAUACGAAUCACUAAAACCAGGAGGCAACAUCCCCGCCAGUUGCUAUCAGAAAAGACUAUUUACCUAAAUAAGAUCCUCCAAUUAUCCACUAUGAAUUAAAAAAACAUUAAUAGAACAUUAGGAGUUCAUUACCCACAAUGAAGGAGACCUUACCUUGGCUCAUCGGGGCUGUUUGGAUGCCGCCCAUACCAGAUUUGCCAAAUCAGGGCUCGCCAAAAAAUUUGUGCACUAUUUUGCCGCGUGGAUACGACAACAACCUGAUGCUAGAACUGAACGAGCAACCAAAACUUUGGCGCAUAACCAAAAACUCUGCUUCCAACCAAAGGCCAACAAGCCAGUCAAUACCCAAAUAUUUUUGGUAAGGCUGUUGCUGGCUGGAUGCAAACAGGCCCAUUGUCUCAAACUCUCAAUGCACCAGCAACUAACUUGAAAACUAAAAUUUUAAUUUGCAUUGCAGAAUGGCUUCAUCUCACACUUUCUUAGGUCCAAUAAGUGUGUUUAAAAUCAUUAAUGCGGAUGGAAAAGUUCAUAACGAAGCCAUGGUUUCUUCUCAACUGAAUGAUGACACUACAUAUCAGGAUUCAGAAACAAACUAUCAGUUUCAUCACACGUUAGCAACGACUAGCCCAGGAUAUCUAGCAGACAUACAUCAACGGACAACCAGCACACAGUUACGAAUUUUCAUAACCCGUUCAUGGU